Molecule: long non-coding RNA, 1498 nt
Filed under: Nicotiana benthamiana
Lineage: Eukaryota; Viridiplantae; Streptophyta; Magnoliopsida; Solanales; Solanaceae
Description: long non-coding RNA (NBEN_LNC004154)
Source: RNAcentral
UUUGACAUCUGAUUUGUGAAAUUUUUAUAUGGUUAGACUUGUGAGAGUACGAGGAUUCUGAAAAUGUAAAAUUUAUCUGAUUCCGAGACAUUGGCCUGAGGGACAUUUUGGUUAUUUUACCUAAUUUCGCAUCUUAUCUUUGAAUUAAAUAGUAGAAUCUAUUUUUUGAGAUGUUAAUUAUGAUAUGUAAUUAAAUUGAAUAGAUUUGGGCCAUUUGGAGUCAGAUACUCGUGGCAAAAGUGUUAUUUCAAGUUGAAUGUGGAGCCGGUUUGAGGUAAGUGGCUUGUCUAACCUUGUGUGGGAGACCUUUACCCUAGGAUAUGUUAUUUGAUAAUUGAGUGCCUUGUACGUGAGGUAAUAAGCACAUACUUAGCUAAUCGUUGAAAAUCCAAUUUUUACCUAAGAUAUUGAGACUGAGUUUCUUUCGUACUUACUUAUCUUACUUGCAAUUAUAACGUGUUUUCGAUUAGAAAGACAUGUUUAGUUGAUUUAGCUUGCCUGCUUGCUUAAAUUGUCAUAACCGCACUACGUGAGACAUGUUAGGCUAGAACUAUCUAUUCCUUGAUUCUUGUGCUUCAUUUAUGAAUAUUCUCUGAUUGUGGUUGCGCAUUUAUAUUUGAGACUAUGAGUUAGAUUCUCGAAAGACCCCCCUACAUAUUUACUUUGGGACUAUGAGUUAGAUUUUCGGGAGAUUCCCCUGCAUUUUUUUUUGGGAAUACGGGUUAGAUUCCUGGAAGAUCCCCCUGCAUAAUUACUCUGAGACUACAGGUUAAAUUCCCGAGAGAUCCCCCUGCACGUUUAUAUUAUGGACUAUAGGACGGUAUCCUGGGAGAUCCUCGUUAUUGGUAUUGAUAUGGGAAUGGACUACAAGACGGUAUCCUGGGAGAUUCUCGUUGUUGGUAUUGAUAUGGAAAUGGACUACAGGAGGGUAUCCUGGAAGAUCCUCGUAAUUGGUAUCGAUAUUGAGCCAUUUUGCUAUAUGCUAUCUUAUCCUCGGUGUGUUGAUUAUUGUUUGUGUAACCUAACUUGCUUCACAGUUGUAUUUUAUUUUCUGCUUACUGUAUAUUGUUGUAAGUAUUUUUCUUAUAUUUGUUUAAUCUCAGUAGGGCCCUGACCUUCCUCGUCACUGCCCGACCGAGGUUAGGCUUUGCACUUGCUGAGUACCUCUGUGGUGUACUCAUGUCCCUUCUGCGCAUGUUUUUCAUGUGUAGAUCCACGUACUUCCACUCUAGCGUACUACCCUCGAGGCGGAGAGAUCUAGCGGAGACUUCGAGGUAUAUCUGCCGCAUCUGCAGACCAAGAGUCUCUAUUCUGUUUCAGCUUUAGUAGUUAUUCCAUCAUUUUAUUUCAGUUGUUUAGACAUUUUGGAGUUAGAGCAGUAUGUUACAUUCUAUUAGCCUGUGGUUCCCUUGAGUUUCUGGGUUUUGGGGUGUUACUGUAGACUUCUGCAUUUUAAGUUGUAUAUGCCAUGUGGCACUUAUAUACUGUUUUCUUCUAG